CCUUUCAGGGUCAAAGAGAAAACUACAUCUCCCAAGGGAUUGGGCCGGUGUGUUUCCUGCUGCAGGAAGAGGGCUUCGAGCUCGUGGUCCUCGAGGGCCUAAAAGGCACCAGGCACCGAAUUGCUGAAAGAACUAUGCAAGCGCUUAGGGAGCAAUGCGGCCACCUGUGUUCCCUGCUGUUGCAAUCGGAACACUGUAGGGCUGGGGGUGCAGAUCAGGACACGUGCUACACAGCACAGGAAAGGUUCCCCCGUAACGAAAAACUCUAAAGCUGUCUGAGUGCACGAAGCUAAUCAUCAACGAGAACAUCGGUUCCAAAUUAUGACCUUUGAAGAUUCUGAAUAUUGUCGAAUGGGGAUGAGUGGCAGUCUUUUUACCCAGUCAUGGCAUGGUGGUGCAGAAGUGGGACUGUCUCACAAUCUGAUGUAAAAAAAGAAGUCAGCCAUGGACACAGGAAGAAAGGAAAGAACUUCAGUGGGAGUUUACCCGAGUGAGGAAUCGAGCCUGGACUCUGUGCAUGCAGUUUCUGUACUAGUUUAAUGAAGUAUGGGAAUUGAUAGAAUGUGUUAGAAACUUCAGACGUCUUACUUCCUCUGCCUGCCCCAUCCAGGUCUCAUCCUACCUUUUCCAAGUCAUUAUCCAAGAAUGUCAGAGAAAGCCCAAGCAUCCCUUUUGCUCCCACUUUUGCUUUGGGGGAGGUGGAUGGAGGGGAAACAGGAACACUGCACAAGAUUCACACAUUCCCCUUGGAUGAGUCUGAACUAAUUUAUUCAUUGACUCUGUGAUCAGUUAGAAAUCAACAGCUCCAUGCUAUGGUGUGAAACUGAUGAUCACUUUUCUAUUCUUCAUACAACUGGAAAAUUUGAUUUGGCCAACCUCACAUUACAGAGAUGCAUGCUCGCCAUGGGCUGAGUGGAAUACUAGGCAGUCAUGACAGUACCAGCCAUCAUCUCCAGAGACCUUUAAUUCCUGACAAAUCUUUUCUUCUUGAAAGUAACUGUGGGUGGUCUCCCUUUUUUCUAAUUUCAGCAAAUUUGGUACAUCACUUUCUAGUUAUGCAGCUGAUGCUCAUGUUUGUAUGAAUAGCUAUUAAAAAAAGGAAGAUCAGAUGUUUGUUGUUUCAUUUCCAACAUAAAUCAAACUUUGUAUUCACAUUUCAAUUCUAGUUUAGCCACAGGAAUAGCUUUAGUAUUGCUAAGUGUCUGGAGACUAUUGACUACAGAGACAUGUUUUUAAGCAGGCUAUAAUAGUUUCUACAGCUGUUAACAGUUCAUAGAAGAAUGGAAGCAUUAUUCAUCAGUGUUUAAAAUGUGCAUGACUUGCAUUGCACAGAAGUCAGUUUGGAGAAUGUCAGAAUUUUUUUCUGAAACUCUGCCAGGAAAGUCUUCAAUAACUAGAGAAAUUCUUUUCACUGGUGAAAUCAACAUGCAGCACAUCGUGUUAUUAUAAUUGCUUAGAGCUCACUAUGAAAGUUGUCUUUGUAUGUGUGGAUGUACAGCUAGUACUGUUUUGUUUUUAUUUAUUCUGCAUUCUUUAUUUUAAUGUUCUUUCCUUUUUUCCAGACCAGAAAGAUUGUUAUUGAGCUCUUCACAGAGCUGAAAUAAUGCUGUGUGUUAAAAAAUGUUAACAAUUUGAAGAAGUUAUAAAAAUUUAUAAGUUGGCUGAGUACUUAGGAAAUUUCUGCAUAUUUUAAUAUAAAUAGGUAAUGCAAAUGUUUGUUCUUUGCAUUUAGAGGUGGGUCUCGGUUUUCUAAAAGGUUUCAUAUUUAAAUUUGAUUCUUUGGAUUGUAUUAAACUCAAACCAGUAUUUUUACAUGUUGCAUAACUGAAAAACAUGUAAUCACAAACGAUAGAGUGCUUACAUAGUUAAUAGUGAAUGCAAUACAGUCACAAAGUUUAACAUUAAAAUGUAGACUGUGAAUAGUAUCAGUUAAUGAAAUGAACAAUUUCAUUAACAAAUUUAGCACCUAAAUCAGUACCCAUUGAAGUCAAUGCGAGUCUUUCCAUUGACUUCACUGGAUUUUGGGUUGGGCUCACAGAGAAUAAGGCAAGCUGUAUUGCAACUGGAUGCUUAUUAUAAAAUAAUUUUCUCUUUUAUUUCAAUAUUAAAUGUCAAAGGCUGUUGUCAGAUACACCGGUGUAAACCCAGAAUAACUCACUGAAAUCAGGGGAGUUACUCCAGUAUUAUUUUGGUGAUCACUGUGCCCCCAAAGUUUAUUAAUAAUUUAAAUCACAAAAUAAAAGCAAAAAUCUUUAAAAGAACAGAAGGAAGAGAAUGGAGAGAGGAGAAAGGCAGUAAUAAAGGGAAGAAGUGUGUAAUUAAAUAGAAUGUGAGAAUGCAGGCAGAGAUCUGAAUGAUUAUUGACAGACUCAAUAAAUAACAACUGUCUGAAAUUUUCAAAUGUGUUUCUUACCAUGAACAUAC
Molecule: non-coding RNA, 2424 nt
Organism: Chelonoidis abingdonii (Abingdon island giant tortoise)
Lineage: Eukaryota; Metazoa; Chordata; Testudines; Testudinidae
Source: RefSeq, a predicted model, not a curated record